UACGGAAGGCAGCAGGGGGGAAGUAUUGCACAAUGGGCGCAAGCCUGAUGCAGCCAUGCCGCGUGUAUGAAAAAGGCCUUCGGGUUUGUAAAGUACUUUCUAGUCGUGAGGAAGGUGUUAAGGUUAAUAACCUUAGCAAUUGACGUUAGCGACAGAAGAAGCACCGGCUAACUCCGUGCCAGCAGCCGCGGUAAUACGGAGGGUGCGAGCGUUAAAUCGGAAUUACUGGGCGUAAAGGGCACGCAGGCGGUUAAUUAAGUUGGAUGUGAAAUCCCCGGGCUUAACCUGGGAAUGGCAUUCAAGACUGGUUAGCUAGAGUCUUGUAGAGGGGGUAGAUUCCAUGUGUAGCGGUGAAAUGCGUAGAGAUGUGGAGGAAUACCGGUGGCGAAGGCGGCCCCUGGACAAAGGACUGACGCUCAUGUGCGAAAGCGUGGGGAGCAAACAGGGAUUAGGAUA
Molecule: ribosomal RNA, 456 nt
Filed under: uncultured bacterium
Lineage: Bacteria
Description: bacterial SSU rRNA
Rfam family: Bacterial small subunit ribosomal RNA
Source: RNAcentral